Molecule: ribosomal RNA, 253 nt
Filed under: uncultured bacterium
Lineage: Bacteria
Description: partial 16S ribosomal RNA
Rfam family: Bacterial small subunit ribosomal RNA
Source: RNAcentral
UACGUAGGGCGCAAGCGUUGUCCGGAAUUAUUGGGCGUAAAGAGCUCGUAGGCGGCUUGUCACGUCGAUUGUGAAAGCCCGAGGCUUAACCUCGGGUCUGCAGUCGAUACGGGCUAGCUAGAGUGUGGUAGGGGAGAUCGGAAUUCCUGGUGUAGCGGUGAAAUGCGCAGAUAUCAGGAGGAACACCGGUGGCGAAGGCGGGUCUCUGGGCAGUAACUGACGCUGAGGAGCGAAAGCGUGGGGAGCGAACAGG